Molecule: ribosomal RNA, 547 nt
Filed under: uncultured Spiroplasma sp.
Lineage: Bacteria; Bacillati; Mycoplasmatota; Mollicutes; Entomoplasmatales; Spiroplasmataceae
Description: bacterial SSU rRNA
Rfam family: Bacterial small subunit ribosomal RNA
Source: RNAcentral
UUAGUGGGGAAUAACUGUUGGAAACGACAGCUAAUACCGCAUAAUAUUGCUGGAUAAUUUCCAGUAAUGAAAGGAGCUUUCAAGCUCCGCUGAUUGAUGAGGAUGCGGCGCAUUAGCUAGUUGGUAGGGUAAUGGCCUACCAAGGCAAUGAUGCGUAGCCGAUCUGAGAGGAUGAACGGCCACAUUGGGACUGAGACACGGCCCAAACUUCUACGGAAGGCAGCAGUAGGGAAUUUUUCACAAUGGGCGAAAGCCUGAUGGAGCAAUGCCGCGUGACUGAUGAAGGUCUUCGGAUUGUAAAGGUCUGUUGUAAGGGAAGAAAUGGUAAAACAGGAAAUGGUUUUAUCUAUGACGGUACCUUACCAGAAAGCCACGGCUAACUAUGUGCCAGCAGCCGCGGUAAUACAUAGGUGGCAAGCGUUAUCCGGAUUUAUUGGGCGUAAAGGGUGCGUAGACGGUUUUGCAAGUCUGANGUUAAAUUUAGGAGCUCAACUCCUAAUCGCCUUGGAAACUACAAGACUAGAGUAUAGGAGAGGUUAGUGGAAUU